GAGAGAGGAACAGCGGACAUUGAGGAUUGCGGUGGCUGAUUUUUUAAUUUGUGUUUGCCUCAAUGAUUCUCAUUUAUCUUAACUUCCAUUUACUCAAGACAAUUACAACAUUGGUAGAGAAACUUCUAUUUUGUUCUGUUCUUUGCUAUAUGAUACAUCCCAACAGAACUGAAGCAACUAAUUUAUUCAUGAAAAUGGUUGGUUUAAAGCUCGAAAGCUCAUACCGAGAUGGCUUUUUUCACAGCUUCAUGACGAAGUAAAAUAAAAGCUUAUGACCGAAGAAACAUGCUUGGAUAGGCGUCCUUGUCGACCUCGCAGUCUCCAACCCAUCCUUAGGUAUUGCAGCUCCUUCCAAUCCAGUUUACUCCCUUUUGACAAUUUCCUUACUUGAGCCUUGGAGAUAUGCACUGAAUCGGCUAAUGUUUGCUCUAGGAAUUUCCUUUUGUAGAGAGGAUGUCUUGCCGAAUGUAGUUUUUAGUUCUUGAUCUUUUUUAUACAAGAUAUCUAAAUACUGUAAUGACUCUUGCUGGGAAGCAGGUUGUCAUAUAAGGGGAAAACUUUAGAAGUUACGCGACGUAAUUUAAAUCAUGUGCAACUUGUUUGCUUCCUUGUUGUUUUAUUGCAUUCGAGAUCUUUACCAUUUUCACUGUCGGAAAUGCAGAGCAGAUCUUUAGUAUCUUGAAUUAUCAGUUAAAUUUGUUAGUUGUGAGAUGCAUAUGAUUCUGGCUUCAUUCACAACCAUUCAUGUGGUUUAUUCGGUUUGGUUGGUCGUUGUUAGUACUUUCAUGCCAUCUGAUUAUGUGGUAGAGUGCUUCCGAACUGUGUGUGGGGCCGGGUGUUGUCGGUCAGACCUGAGCACCCUCGCCGGCGACUUGCUAUCUAACCCAUCCACAGGUUUUCCUCUCUUUGAUUUUCCUGUCCAAGUCCAUGAUUUGGUUUAUCUUGGUUGACGUGCUUUUUUAUGUUACAUUGGUGGUCGAUGCAAUGAGAGGUGCAAAUGCAAGGCAAGACGACAUUAUAUAAUUUGUCCUGUGAGUUAGAAUAUCCAUGUGCUAUUUAUUGUGGUGCGGCAUCAAGCAUGUUGAUUGAAUCUGAAGCAUGAGUAAACUGUAGUAAGCUGUGUGUACAGAUUCCUGAUUAUUCUGUAUGAUCCUCUAUUUUUUCCUUUAUGAUCCUCUUUAUUGUGGUGCGACACCAAGCUUGGAUUAUUUACUUGCUUCCACUGUGAUUUCUGGGGAGGGCACUUUAUUGAUUUCUCAAACCUUGGAUCUAGACAUGUAAAUAGUUAAAUGAUAUAUUUUGCUUUUCGAUUAAAUAUGAUACUAACUAAACCUGUCUAUCUUAUACAAGCUGCAAUCUAUUCUGAAAAUUCUGUUUAUAAGGUACCAUCAGCUAUGACCCUAAUGGACCCCGAAUAAAAAGGAGAAAACAUUUGACACUUAUCGUGGCCAACCAUGAAACCGUGUUUCAGAAACUGCAUCAUAGCACAUAUUUCAACCACCGUUUCCUGGUUUGUAAUAUGUACUAGCCUUCUGAAAAAGACUGAGGCUGCACUUGUUCCUGUUAGGUACUUGUAGCAAAUAUUUACUAACUUUUGUUCUUUCGAUCAGAUAAUAAAAGUUUCAUGUCUCUUAAUAAAUUUUAGGUUGUCAUGUUACAAAAAGGCCUAUCUACAAAUAGGUGGACAAGAUAAAACAUUAAAAAUAGACUAGAGCAUUUUCCAUCUCCAUUGAUAAGAAAUAGGUGAAAAGAAAUUAAACUUACUCUUUUCCUUCCUUGCGUAAACGUCUUGUGCUGCUAUGUAGAAGAGGUAUAAUCUUUUUAUAUGGUGAAUCAUGAAGAAACUUAUAGCACAGUGCUAUCAUCUAUGGUAUUGGUGAAUAGUAGCCAUAGUGGUUUAGGAUCUUUUUCAUGUGUUGGCUAAUUGGUUAUUGAUUGUAAUUGCCAGUUUCUCUUCACAUAUGAACCAUGCAUACUUGAUGGUGGGUGAUCCAAAAAUGAUCUCAACCAAUAAAACUUUUAGCGAGUAUGUAAGAACUGGAGUUCUGGAUAUGGAUAGCAGACUACUUUUGAUGGUACUCAGUUUCUUGAAUCCUGUACAUUUCACAAAAACAAUAUGUUGCUUUCAAUGUUUUGGAUUUUACCAUGUGAGUGCCUCUGGAGAGAUUUUUUAAUUGCUUUCUUAUGCUUCCACCUAUUUUCUUCCAGAAUGAUGAUGUGCUUUCUGCUAAAAUUGUACACUAUGGUGUUGAUAAGCAUGAAUUAUUUGCUGUCCUCACAUACAGUCGUAAGCCUUAUUAACUUGAUCAUAGUGUUCUCUUUUUAUUUGUUAGCGGCAUGAUUGAAGGGCGAGACUACCAGCUGGUGAAGGAGAGGAUAUGUAUUCGGCGUGUCCUGAAGAGGUAGUCCACGAACCGGCAAUGGAGGAAAUAAGGUAGAGACGGCAAUAGCAGCAAGUACGUCAAGCGCCAGGGAUGUGGAUAUGGUGUGGCAUAAAAAGGUAGUCCACAAACCUCUGCUAGGUGCUCCUCUCUCACCUCUUGCGUCCUUUGGGGAUAUUCCUUCAUUAUUUGGUUACCUGUCAAUGCUCGGUCUUGUUUCCCACCUUGUGCUUUGACUUCUUGCAUUUUUUUCGUCUAAGUUAUUAGGCUACUGCUGCCUGGUUUGCCCAUGAUGAACCACUAAUUAUGAUGCACUGAUGGCUGGUCUACCUUUUUUAUGCUUUUUUUAGUGACAGCAUUCAGACUUAAUGUUUAUUACUUCAUUUCAGAGUUUUAAAUUAAGACAUCGCGGUCAAUUUAUAUGGUCUUCUGAAGUUUCCCUUCCCUUUGUCAUAUUGGUUUGAUCAAAUUAAUGGGAAGCCGGCAUUACUUUGAUGUACUGGCUUAUAGUCUUAUUAAGUACUCCCUCUUCAAACUAAUACAAGACCUUUUAGAUCACUGCUUACCUUUUAGAUCACUAAAAUAGUGAUCUAAAAGGUCUUACAUCUUAGCGCACAUUUAACUACUGUAUUUGUUGUACUAUUGUGGAUGUACCGCAGAAUAAAGCAGUCCUCCAUUUUUCUUCUAUGCAG
Molecule: long non-coding RNA, 3073 nt
Filed under: Triticum aestivum (bread wheat)
Lineage: Eukaryota; Viridiplantae; Streptophyta; Magnoliopsida; Poales; Poaceae
Description: long non-coding RNA (TAES_LNC000411)
Source: RNAcentral